Molecule: transfer RNA, 72 nt
Filed under: Numenius madagascariensis (Far Eastern curlew)
Lineage: Eukaryota; Metazoa; Chordata; Aves; Charadriiformes; Scolopacidae
Description: tRNA-Cys
Source: RNAcentral
UUAUCGACUCUGUAGUGAAGUUCAUGUUGAGUUGCAAGCUCAUCGAUGUACACUGUAAGUGUGCCGGGGUCU